This 1433-nucleotide ribosomal RNA is filed under the name metagenome. Its description in RNAcentral is "bacterial LSU rRNA". It matches the Rfam family "Bacterial large subunit ribosomal RNA", at positions 1476 to 2925 of the family's 2925-position model. The record is from RNAcentral.
AGUAGGAUAAGCUAACCGUACUGUUGGUUAUGUACGGCUAAGCAUUGAGGCAGUCCAAAUAGGCAAAUCCGUUUGGACAAUGCUAGGAUGUGAUGGGGAAGCCCUUCGGGGCGAAGUAGCUGAUUUCACACUGUCAAGAAAAGCUUCUAUCGAGUUUAAAGGCGCCCGUACCGUAAACCGACACAGGUGGGUGAGGAGAGUAUCCUAAGGCCAGCGAGAGAACUAUUGUUAAGGAACUCGGCAAAAUGACCCCGUAACUUAGGGAGAAGGGGUGCCUGUCUAUGACAGGCCGCAGAGAAUAGGCCCAAGCGACUGUUUACCAAAAACACAGGUUUCUGCUAAGUCGCAAGACGAUGUAUAGGAGCUGACGCCUGCCCGGUGCUGGAAGGUUAAGGGGAUCUGUUAGAGCAAUCGAAGCAGUGAACUUAAGCCCCAGUAAACGGCGGCCGUAACGAUAACGGUCCUAAGGUAGCGAAAUUCCUUGUCGGGUAAGUUCCGACCCGCACGAAAGGCGUAACGAUUUGGGCACUGUCUCAACAAUAGACUCGGUGAAAUUGUAAUCCCGGUGAAGAUGCCGGGUACCUGCGACAGGACGGAAAGACCCCAUGGAGCUUUACUGUAGCUUGACGUUGGGUCUUGGUACUACAUGUACAGGAUAGGUGGGAGACUAUGAGGCAUGGACGCCAGUCUGUGUGGAGUCAUCCUUGGGAUACCACCCUUGUAGUACUGGGAUCCUAACCAUAGGCCUUGAAUCAGGUCUUGGAACACCGUCAGGUGGGCAGUUUGACUGGGGCGGUCGCCUCCUAAAAAGUAACGGAGGCGCUCAAAGGUUUCCUCAGCACGGUCGGAAAUCGUGCGAAGAGUGUAAAGGCAAAAGGAAGCUUGAUUGCAAGACAUACAGGUCGAGCAAGGACGAAAGUCGGACUUAGUGAUCCGGUGGUACCGCAUGGAAGGGCCAUCGCUCAACGGAUAAAAGCUACCCUGGGGAUAACAGGCUUAUCUCCCCCAAGAGUCCACAUCGACGGGGAGGUUUGGCACCUUGAUGUCGGCUCAUCACAUCCUGGGGCUGUAGUAGGUCCCAAGGGUUGGGCUGUUCGCCCAUUAAAGUGGUACGCGAGCUGGGUUCAGAACGUCGUGAGACAGUUCGGUCCCUAUCCGUCGCAGGAGUAGGAAAUUUGAGAAGACCUGUCCUUAGUACGAGAGGACCGGGAUGGACGUACCUCUGGUGUACCAGUUGUUCUGCCAAGGGCAUGGCUGGGUAGCUAUGUACGGAAUGGAUAAGCGCUGAAAGCAUCUAAGCGCGAAGCCUACUUCAAGAUAAGAUUUCCCACCGUAAGGGUAAGACCCCAGGAAGACUACCUGGUUGAUAGGUCGAAGGUGUAAGUGCAGCAAUGUAUUUAGCUUAUCGAUACUAAUAGGUCGAGGACUUGACC